This 440-nucleotide ribosomal RNA is filed under the name uncultured bacterium. RNAcentral describes it as "partial 16S ribosomal RNA". It matches the Rfam family "Bacterial small subunit ribosomal RNA", at positions 338 to 795 of the family's 1533-position model. The record is from RNAcentral.
CCUACGGGUGGCAGCAGUGGGGAAUAUUGCACAAUGGGGGGAACCCUGAUGCAGCGACGCCGCGUGAGUGAAGAAGUCUUUAGGUAUGUAAAGCUCUAUCAGCAGGGAAGAAAAUGACGCUACCUGACUAAGAAGCCCCGGCUAACUACGUGCCAGCAGCCGCGGUCAUACGGAGGGGGCAAGCGUUAUCCGGAUUGACUGGGGUUAAAGGGAGCGCAGACGGCUGUGCAAGUCUGGAGUGAAAGGCGGGGGGCCAACCCCCGGACUGCGCUGGAAACUGUAAAGCUGGAGUGCAGGAGAGGUAAGCGGAAUGCCUAGUGUAGCGGUGAAAUGCGUAGAUAUUAGGAGGAACACCAGUGGCGAAGGCGGCUUACUGGACUGCAACUGACGUUGAGGCUCGAAAGCGUGGGGAGCAAACAGGAUUAGAUACCCGAGUAGUC